RNAcentral lists this ribosomal RNA (503 nucleotides) under uncultured Sphingobacteriales bacterium. RNAcentral's name for it is "bacterial SSU rRNA". It matches the Rfam family "Bacterial small subunit ribosomal RNA", at positions 903 to 1382 of the family's 1533-position model. The record is from RNAcentral. Lineage: Bacteria; Pseudomonadati; Bacteroidota; Sphingobacteriia; Sphingobacteriales.
UUGCCACGCCCGCUCAAGAAACUACAAAGGAAUUGACGGGGCCCGCACAAGCGGAGGAGCAUGUGGUUUAAUUCGAUGAUACGCGAGGAACCUUACCUGGGCUCGAACGUAAGAUGACUGUAGGUGAAAGCUUACAUCUCUUCGGAGCAUUUUACGAGGUGCUGCAUGGUUGUCGUCAGCUCGUGCCGUGAGGUGUCGGGUUAAGUCCCAUAACGAGCGCAACCCCUACCUUUAGUUGCCAUCAGGUAAUGCUGGGGACUCUAAAGGAACUGCCUACGCAAGUAGUGAGGAAGGCGGGGAUGACGUCAAAUCAGCACGGCCCUUACGUCCAGGGCUACACACGUGCUACAAUGGCCGAUACAGAGGGCAGCUACCUGGUGACAGGAUGCAAAUCUCCAAAGUCGGUCUCAGUUCGGAUCGGAGUCUGCAACCCGACUCCGUGAAGUUGGAUUCGCUAGUAAUCGCGCAUCAGCCAUGGCGCGGUGAAUACGUUCCCGGGCCUU